RNAcentral lists this ribosomal RNA (492 nucleotides) under uncultured bacterium. Its description in RNAcentral is "partial 16S ribosomal RNA". It matches the Rfam family "Bacterial small subunit ribosomal RNA", at positions 29 to 507 of the family's 1533-position model. The record is from RNAcentral.
AGUGAACGCUGGCGGUAGGCCUAACACAUGCAAGUCGAACGGAAGCACAGUAAGAGCUUGCUCUUACGGGUGGCGAGUGGCGGACGGGUGAGGAAUACAUCGGCAUCUACUUUUUCGUGGGGGAUAACGUAGGGAAACUUACGCUACUACCGCAUACGACCUACGGGUGAAAGCAGGGGAUCUUCGGACCUUUCGCGAUUGAAUGAGCCGAUGUCGGAUUAGCUAGUUGGCGGGGUAAAGGCCCACCAAGGCGACGAUCCGUAGCUGGUCUGAGAGGAUGAUCAGCCACACUGGAACUGAGACACGGUCCAGACUCCUACGGGAGGCAGCAGUGGGGAAUAUUGGACAAUGGGCGCAAGCCUGAUCCAGCCAUACCGCGUGGGUGAAGAAGGCCUUCGGGUUGUAAAGCCCUUUUGUUGGGAAAGAAAAGCAGCAGGUGAAUACCCCGCUGUUCUGACGGUACCCAAAGAAUAAGCACCGGCUAACUUCGUG